RNAcentral lists this ribosomal RNA (1837 nucleotides) under Araneus ventricosus. Its description in RNAcentral is "partial 28S ribosomal RNA". The record is from RNAcentral. Lineage: Eukaryota; Metazoa; Arthropoda; Arachnida; Araneae; Araneidae.
GCGCCUCUGGGCUUAUUCGAGACCCAUUGACUCGCACACAUGUUAGACUCCUUGGUCCGUGUUUCAAGACGGGUCGGGUGGGUGACCGAUCUACUCCCCGCGAACCGCCGACCUCCGACUGGUCCACAGCAGCCAACGAGGAAGCUGUCUUCCGAUGGGCCACGGAGUCAGUCCGUGCGCCCUCAGAAGUGCUCACCCCUGCCACUUCGUCCAGGCAUCCGCGAACGGAGGAGGCGAAGAAGCCUAAGUAGGCCUCGCGACACCACGGUCACGCUACGAGCCGUGCGGCGCGCUGGCUAACAGCCGACGAUCCUAGUGAAAGAACCACCGGCCAACUGCCGUUGCACGCCCUUAAGGCCGUCUCGUAACCGGUUGCGGGGUCCUUCGGACGGGAAACAAAUGCGUUCUAUAACGCGAAAGCUCUAUGAAUGAGAGGCCGCCUCCGCGGAGCCAUAGUCAAUUCUCAAACGUAGAGUCCACGCCACAAAACUGAAUCCUCCCGCCACAGGAUUUCGAGGGCCCACCCGUUUGCCUCUGAGCAGUUUCACGUACUCUUGAACUCUCUCUUCAAAGUUCUUUGCAACUUUCCCUCACGGUACUUGUUUGCUAUCGGUCUCACGGCCGUAUUUAGCCUUAGGUGGAGUUUACCACCCGAUUAGGGCUGCACUCCCAAGCAACCCGACUCCAAGGAGAUCGCAUUCGACGGAGACCUAGCAGCUAUGGGCCUCGCACCCACUCUGGGUUACAGCCCCGGUCAGGGGGACUUGCUGCAGAGUCAACCGCCGGCACGCUCACUCCUAAACGCCACAUUGCCCGGCUCCCUCUCGAGAGCGGGCUUCGGCGCUGGGCUCUUCCCUUUUCGCUCGCCGUUACUCAGGGAAUCCCUGUUGGUUUCUUUUCCUCCGCUUAUUUAUAUGCUUAAAUUCAGCGGGUCAUCUCGUCUGAUCUGAGGUCGAGAUGUGUUGACUAGUACACUGCCCUCAGUACGUGGGAAGUGUCUGAACGCAUUCUCGAAAUGCGGCCUACACCUUCUAAAAUGGGAUUGCCAAAUAAAAUACCAUAUAAAUUUGAGCAGUGGAUCAAUGGGUCUACAAUAAUGAUAAAGAAUGUUUAAAAUGUGAUUUGCAAUUGCAGAGCAUUGAAAACAUUUUCAAUGGCAUUGUGGCCUUACCGCCUGGGGCCUGCCUGUCUGAGGGCCGGAGCAGACUUGCAAAAGAACAAAUUUGCCCAUGCGGCUGAGUCUAUUGAUUCCCUGUCACCUGGCAUUCAGGAUCCUCCUGGCUGAGAGCUCUGCCCAGUGUAUGUUUUGCUGCUCUGGAGAAGAUGAGCAAUGUUUUCCACAAGAUGAGACGGUCGAUGCUGGGUAAAGAUCAUAUCUGAAAGGGAAGAGAGCUCAUAGACUUUUGUCUACUUUUCAUGAUGANNNNNNNNNNNNNNNNNNNNNNNNNUCAAUAGACAAAGUCUAUGUAGGCUCUCUUCCCACUGAAUAGUCUUCUUAGCAUCAAACCGUCUCGUCUUCGUGGAGAAACGUUGUCCGUCUUCUCCGAGCGAUGAGCAUGCACUAGGGCUUGAGCUCUCUCGACCGGGGAGGAUCCUAUGAAUACUUGAGCCGACGAAAUCCAAUAGACUCCGACGCGGCCAAUUGGAAAAAUGAAUUUCCUUUGCAAGUCUUAUCCGACCCUCAGACAGGCGAGGCCCCGGGCAGGACCCGAGGCCGCAAUGUGCGUUCGAAAAAUCAGUGCUCAAUGUGUCCUGCAAUUCACACCAAAUCUCGCAGCUGGCUGCGUUCUUUCUUCUGAUUGACCUGUGAGCUGAGGAUCCACUGUCUAGAGUUGUA